This 621-nucleotide unclassified non-coding RNA is filed under the name Bombus terrestris (buff-tailed bumblebee). RNAcentral describes it as "misc RNA ENSBTSG00005030271.1". Lineage: Eukaryota; Metazoa; Arthropoda; Insecta; Hymenoptera; Apidae. The record is from RNAcentral.
GCGCGGUUGCCAGUCUACUUUUUCAACGGCGCGCCCGCAGCGAUCGCGAAACGUGUCAUUAGAGCAGCGUAAAAGGGAGCAUCGAUAAGAAAGGUGUUGAGAGCGCGAGAUACGAAGCGGACGAGUCUUCGACGAGAUACGAGGCGAUCGCGAGGUGUUAAGAGGCCGCUGCGUUAUGAAUAGGCGUUCCACGCGAGCAAACGAAACGCACAAUGUAGCGACGAAACAGAGGCGAAGCGAUUCAACGCUCAUGGUCCAGGAGCAUAGAUAUUCGGAGCGAAAAAUGAUCAGCAAGGAAUCGGCCUUGGGGCGGCAUUUCGCGCGGGUCGCGCAGCGUGGAAUUAACCGGUGCUUGGCCCUUUUCUAAAACCAACACGUAAUUAUCUCGCCGACGGUUGUGCGGUAAUUUUCAACCCGGCGGCCCUUUUUCCACCGACAGGUACCGGACCGUGCAGAUAACCGAUAUUUACAUGGCAGGUGAUAUCAAUUAUCGUUCCAGAGGCGCCGCGCUUCGCCCCGGGGGCUGAAAUUGCAGCCGGGCUUUUUCGGCCCACUUCUACCGCCAAUUUACUCGAUUCGCGCCUUCGACGACUUUUUUUGCGGAGACUUCUCUAGCCUCUA